Molecule: ribosomal RNA, 468 nt
Filed under: uncultured bacterium
Lineage: Bacteria
Description: partial 16S ribosomal RNA
Rfam family: Bacterial small subunit ribosomal RNA
Source: RNAcentral
GACGAACGCUGGCGGCGUGCUUAACACAUGCAAGUCGAACGGAAAGGCCCUGCUUUUGUGGGGUGCCCGAGUGGCGAACGGGUGAGUAACACGUGAGUAACCUGCCCUUGACUUUGGGAUAACUUCAGGAAACUGGGGCUAAUACCGGAUAGGAACUCCUGCUGCAUGGUGGGGGUUGGAAAGUUUCGGCGGUUGGGGAUCGACUCGCGGCUUAUCAGCUUGGUGGUGGGGUAGUGGCUUACCAAGGCUUGGACGGGUAGCCGGCCUGAGAGGGUGACCGGCCACAGUGGGACUGAGAUACGGCCCAGAUUCAUCCGGGCGGCAGAAGUGGGGAAUAUUGCAUAAUGGGCGGAAGCCUGAGGUAGCAACGCCGCGUGCGGGAUGACGGCCGUCGGGUUGUAAACCGCUGUCGCCUGUGACGAAGCGUGAGUGACGGUAAUGGGUAAAGAAGCACCGGCUAACUACGUG